AUCUCUUAAAGCCGUCUCAGUUCGGAUUGUAGGCUGCAACUCGCCUACAUGAAGUCGGAAUCGCUAGUAAUCGCGGAUCAGCAUGCCGCGGUGAAUACGUUCCCGGGCCUUGUACACACCGCCCGUCACACCAUGAGAGUUUGUAACACCCAAAGCCGGUGGGGUAACCUUUUGGAGCCAGCCGUCUAAGGUGGGACAGAUGAUUGGGGUGAAGUCGUAACAAGGUAGC
This 229-nucleotide ribosomal RNA is filed under the name uncultured bacterium. Its description in RNAcentral is "partial 16S ribosomal RNA". It matches the Rfam family "Bacterial small subunit ribosomal RNA", at positions 1271 to 1500 of the family's 1533-position model. The record is from RNAcentral.